GAUGAACGCUGGUGGCGUGCCUAAUACAUGCAAGUCAAGCGAACAGACGGGGAGCUUGCUCCUUUGACGUUAGCGGCGGACGGGUGAGUAACACCUAUGUAACCUACCUAUAAGACUGGGAUAACUUCGGGAAACCGGAGCUAAUACCGGAUAAUAUUUCUAACCGCCUAGUUCGAUAGUGAAAGAUGGCUUUGCUAUCACUUAUAGAUGGACCUGCGCCGUAUUAGCUAGUUGGUAAGGUAACGGCUUACCAAGGCGACGAUACGUAUCCGACCUGAGAGGGUGAUCGGCCACACUGGAACUGAGACACGGUCCAGACUCCUACCGGAGGCAGCAGUAGGGAAUCUUCCUCACUGGACGAAAGCCUGACUGACCAACGACGCGUGAGUGAUGAAGGUCUUCGGAUCGGAAAACUCUGUUAUUAGGGAAGAACAAACGUGGUACUAACUGUGGUCGUCUUGACGGUACCUACUCCUAAAGCCACCGCUUACUACCUGCCACCACCCGCGGAAAAGAGUAUGUGGCAAGCGUUAUCCCGAAUAUUGGGAGUCCAGCGCGCGUAGGCGGUUUUUUAAGUCUGAUGUGAAAGCCCACGGCUCAACCGUGGAGGGUCAUUGGAAACUGGAAAACUUGAGUGCAGAAGAGGAAAGUGGAAUUCCAUGUGUAGCGGUGAAAUGCGCAGAGAUAUGGAGGAACACCAGUGGCGAAGGCGACUUUCUGGUCUGUAACUGACGCUGAUGUGCGAAAGCGUGGGGAUCAAACAGGAUUAGAUACCCUGGUAGUCCACGCCGUAAACGAUGAGUGCUAAGUGUUAGGGGGUUUCCGCCCCUUAGUGCUGCAGCUAACGCAUUAAGCACUCCGCCUGGGGAGUACGACCGCAAGGUUGAAACUCAAAGGAAUUGACGGGGACCCGCACAAGCGGUGGAGCAUGUGGUUUAAUUCGAAGCAACGCGAAGAACCUUACCAAAUCUUGACAUCCUUUGACCCUUCUAGAGAUAGAAGUUUCCCCUUCGGGGGACAAAGUGACAGGUGGUGCAUGGUUGUCGUCAGCUCGUGUCGUGAGAUGUUGGGUUAAGUCCCGCAACGAGCGCAACCCUUAAGCUUAGUUGCCAUCAUUAAGUUGGGCACUCUAAGUUGACUGCCGGUGACAAACCGGAGGAAGGUGGGGAUGACGUCAAAUCAUCAUGCCCCUUAUGAUUUGGGCUACACACGUGCUACAAUGGACAAUACAAAGGGCAGCGAAACCGCGAGGUCAAGCAAAUCCCAUAAAGCUGUUCUCAGUUCGGAUUGUAGUCUGCAACUCGACUACAUGAAGCUGGAAUCGCUAGUAAUCGUAGAUCAGCAUGCUACGGUGAAUACUUUCCCGGGUCU
RNAcentral lists this ribosomal RNA (1371 nucleotides) under uncultured bacterium. Its description in RNAcentral is "bacterial SSU rRNA". It matches the Rfam family "Bacterial small subunit ribosomal RNA", at positions 28 to 1381 of the family's 1533-position model. The record is from RNAcentral.